UCAUUACUUUUGUCUCAAAAAAAAAAAAAGAAAGAAAAGAAAAGCGGAUCCAGAAAUCUUGGAGACAGUUUCCUCUCCCUAUUCAAGAUCGAAUCCACCAACGAAAAAAGCGGUUCAAAAGGCUGCGCCUUCUGAUUAUACUUUGAAUUGAGUGUUUAAAGUGUAUCUGGUAUUGUGGCCAGAACUGGUGCUCUCAGCAUGGCAUUUUCAAGGAUUGCUAGGAAUGGCUUGAGAAGAGCAGGAGGCACCUUUGGUAGUUACGCAGAGAA
This 269-nucleotide unclassified non-coding RNA is filed under the name Hevea brasiliensis (rubber tree). Lineage: Eukaryota; Viridiplantae; Streptophyta; Magnoliopsida; Malpighiales; Euphorbiaceae. The record is from RNAcentral.